RNAcentral lists this ribosomal RNA (491 nucleotides) under uncultured bacterium. RNAcentral describes it as "partial 16S ribosomal RNA". It matches the Rfam family "Bacterial small subunit ribosomal RNA", at positions 29 to 507 of the family's 1533-position model. The record is from RNAcentral.
AGUGAACGCUGGCGGUAGGCCUAACACAUGCAAGUCGAACGGCAGCACAGUAAGAGCUUGCUCUUACGGGUGGCGAGUGGCGGACGGGUGAGGAAUACAUCGGAAUCUACUUUUUCGUGGGGGAUAACGUAGGGAAACUUACGCUAAUACCGCAUACGACCUACGGUGAAAGCAGGGGAUCUUCGGACCUUGCCCGAUUGAAUGAGCCGAUGUCGGAUUAGCUAGUUGGCGGGGUAAAGGCCCACCAAGGCGACGAUCCGUAGCUGGUCUGAGAGGAUGAUCAGCCACACUGGAACUGAGACACGGUCCAGACUCCUACGGGAGGCAGCAGUGGGGAAUAUUGGACAAUGGGCGCAAGCCUGAUCCAGCCAUACCGCGUGGGUGAAGAAGGCCUUCGGGUUGUAAAGCCCUUUUGUUGGGAAAGAAAAGCAGCAGGUUAAUACCCCGCUGUUCUGACGGUACCCAAAGAAUAAGCACCGGCUAACUUCGUG